GAUGAACGCUGGCGGUGUGCCUAAUACAUGCAAGUCGAACGGGGUGAUGGUGCUUGCACUAUCACUUAGCGGCGGACGGGUGAGUAAUGCUUAGGAAUCUGCCUAUUAGUGGGGGACAACAUCUCGAAAGGGAUGCUAAUACCGCAUACGUCCUACGGGAGAAAGCAGGGGAUCACUUGUGACCUUGCGCUAAUAGAUGAGCCUAAGUCGGAUUAGCUAGUUGGUGGGGUAAAGGCCUACCAAGGCGACGAUCUGUAGCGGGUCUGAGAGGAUGAUCCGCCACACUGGGACUGAGACACGGCCCAGACUCCUACGGGAGGCAGCAGUGGGGAAUAUUGGACAAUGGGGGGAACCCUGACCCAGCCAUGCCGCGUGUGUGAAGAAGGCCUUAUGGUUGUAAAGCACUUUAAGCGAGGAGGAGGCUCUUUUGGUUAAUACCCAAGAUGAGUGGACGUUACUCGCAGAAUAAGCACCGGCUAACUCUGUGCCAGCAGCCGCCGUAA
Molecule: ribosomal RNA, 503 nt
Filed under: uncultured bacterium
Lineage: Bacteria
Description: partial 16S ribosomal RNA
Rfam family: Bacterial small subunit ribosomal RNA
Source: RNAcentral